RNAcentral lists this transfer RNA (72 nucleotides) under Bos taurus (domestic cattle). It matches the Rfam family "tRNA". From Rfam's summary of the family: Transfer RNA (tRNA) molecules are approximately 80 nucleotides in length. Their secondary structure includes four short double-helical elements and three loops (D, anti-codon, and T loops). Further hydrogen bonds mediate the characteristic L-shaped molecular structure. tRNAs have two regions of fundamental functional importance: the anti-codon, which is responsible for specific mRNA codon recognition, and the 3' end, to which the tRNAs corresponding amino acid is attached (by aminoacyl-tRNA synthetases). tRNAs cope with the degeneracy of the genetic code in two manners: having more than one tRNA (with a specific anti-codon) for a particular amino acid; and 'wobble' base-pairing, i.e. permitting non-standard base-pairing at the 3rd anti-codon position. The record is from Rfam by way of RNAcentral. Lineage: Eukaryota; Metazoa; Chordata; Mammalia; Artiodactyla; Bovidae.
UCCCUUGUGGUCUAGUGGCUAAGACUCUGUGCUCCCAAUGCAGGUGGCCAGGUUCAAUCCCUGGUCAGGGAA